RNAcentral lists this ribosomal RNA (374 nucleotides) under uncultured bacterium. Its description in RNAcentral is "bacterial SSU rRNA". It matches the Rfam family "Bacterial small subunit ribosomal RNA", at positions 30 to 404 of the family's 1533-position model. The record is from RNAcentral.
AUUGAACGCUGGCGGCAUGCCUUACACAUGCAAGUCGAACGGUAACAGGUUAAGCUGACGAGUGGCGAACGGGUGAGUAAUAUAUCGGAACGUGCCCAGUCGUGGGGAGUAACUGCUCGAAAGAAGCAGCUAAUACCGCAUACGACCUGAGGGUGGAAAGACGGGGGAGUCGCAAGACCUCGCGCGAUUGGAGCGGCCGAUAUCAGAUUAGGUAGUUGGUGGGGUAAAGACCACCAAGCCAACGAUCUGUAGCUGGUCUGAGAGGACGACCAGCCACACUGGGACUGAGACACGGCCCAGACUCCUACGGGAGGGCAGCAGUGGGGGAAGUUUUGGUACAAUGGGCGCAAGCCUGAUCCAGCCAUGCCGCGUGC